RNAcentral lists this ribosomal RNA (253 nucleotides) under uncultured bacterium. Its description in RNAcentral is "partial 16S ribosomal RNA". It matches the Rfam family "Bacterial small subunit ribosomal RNA", at positions 524 to 776 of the family's 1533-position model. The record is from RNAcentral.
UACAGAGGUGGCAAGCGUUGUUCGGAAUUACUGGGCGUAAAGGGCGCGUAGGCGGUCUUGUCAGUCCCUUGUGAAAUCCCCCGGCUCAACUGGGGAACUGCACGGGAAACAGCAGGGCUUGAGUUCGGGAGAGGGAAGCGGAAUUCCGGGUGUAGCGGUGAAAUGCGUAGAGAUCCGGAGGAACACCAGCGGCGAAGGCGGCAUCCUGGACUGGUCCUGACACUCAGGAGCGAAAGCGUGGGGAGCGAUCCGG